RNAcentral lists this ribosomal RNA (441 nucleotides) under Amblyomma sp. ADN A363. RNAcentral's name for it is "partial 16S ribosomal RNA". The stretch from base 160 to 441 matches the Rfam family "Bacterial large subunit ribosomal RNA", at positions 2078 to 2609 of the family's 2925-position model. The record is from RNAcentral. Lineage: Eukaryota; Metazoa; Arthropoda; Arachnida; Ixodida; Ixodidae.
AUGAAUUUAAAUUUAAAUUGCUGUAGUAUUUUGACUAUACAAAGGUAUUGAAAUAAGACUUUAAUUGAGUGCUAAGAGAAUGGAAUUACAGGAAAAAUCUUUUUUAAACUUAACAAUUGAAGUUAUUUUUACUUGUGAAGAAACAGUAAUAAAAAUUAAGGACAAGAAGACCCUAAGAAUUUUUAGAAACAUAUUUCAAUAAAGAAGAUAUGUUUCUUUAAUUGGGGCGAUUAAUUAAUAUUAAAAACUUUUUUUGAAAAAACAUGAACCGUUUAAUAGCGGUAAAUUGGAAAAAAUACUCUAGGGAUAACAGCGUAAUAAUUUUCGAUAGUUCAUAUUGACAAAAUAGUUUGCGACCUCGAUGUUGGAUUAGGAUAUUUUUUUGAUGAAGAAGUUAAAAAAAAAAGUUUGUUCAACUUUUAAUUUCCUACAUGAUCUGAG